RNAcentral lists this ribosomal RNA (253 nucleotides) under uncultured bacterium. RNAcentral describes it as "partial 16S ribosomal RNA". It matches the Rfam family "Bacterial small subunit ribosomal RNA", at positions 524 to 776 of the family's 1533-position model. The record is from RNAcentral.
UACAGAGGGUGCAAGCGUUGCUCGGAAUCAUUGGGCGUAAAGGGCGUGUAGGCGGUCUGUUAAGUCAUGUGUGAAAUCCCUCGGCUCAACCGGGGAACGACGCAUGAAACUGACAAGCUAGAGUACCAAAGAGGGGGGUGGAAUUCCCGGUGUAGCGGUGAAAUGCGUAGAUAUCGGAAGGAACAUCAGUGGCGAAAGCGGCUUCCUGGACCAGCACCGACGUUCAGGCACGAAAGCGUGGGGAGCAAACAGG